RNAcentral lists this ribosomal RNA (975 nucleotides) under uncultured bacterium. RNAcentral describes it as "bacterial SSU rRNA". It matches the Rfam family "Bacterial small subunit ribosomal RNA", at positions 61 to 1081 of the family's 1533-position model. The record is from RNAcentral.
GUCGAGUGGGUUUAGACCCACGGCGAACGGGUGAGUAAUACCUAGGAAUGUAUCUUUAGUCGAGCAUAUCCCACCGAAAGGUGGAGCAAUUCUCGAUGUGACCGCAAGGUUAAAGUCGCAAGACGCUAAAGAAGCGGCCUGGGCACCAUCAGCUAGUUGGUAGGGUAAUGGCCUACCAAGGCGAUGACGGUUAGGGGCCCCGAGAGGGGAGACCCCCACACUGGAACUGCGACACGGUCCAGACUCCUACGGGAGGCAGCAGUUUGGAAUUUUGGACAAUGGGCGAAAGCCUGAUCCAGCGACGCCGCGUGGACGAUGAAGGCCUUCGGGUCGUAAAGUCCUUUUGGCAGGGAAGAAUUUUUGACGGUACCUGCAGAAUAAGAGGUUGCUAACUCUGUGCCAGCAGCAGCGGUAAUACAGAGACCUCAAGCGUUAUCCGGAAUCAUUGGGCGUAAAGCGUACCGAUCGGUGGUUUUACAAGUCAGAGGUGAAAUUCCAAGGCUCAACCUUGGGACUGUCCUUUGAAACUGUAAAACUAGAGGGACAAAGAGGAAGCUAGAACUAACGGUGUAGGGGUAAUAUCCGUUGAUAUCGUUAGGAAUACCGAUAGCGAAGGCAGGCUUCUGGGUGUCACCUGACACUGCUAGGACGAAAGCGUGGGGAGCAAAAAGGAUUAGAUACCCUUGUAGUCCACGCUGUAAACGAUGCAUAUUAGGUGCUGGGGAGUAUCGACCCUCUUCAGUGCCAAAGCUAACGCGUUAAAUAUGCCGCCUGGGGAGUACGGCCGCAAGGCUAAAACUCAAAGGAAUUGACGGGGACCUGCACAAGCGGUGGAGCAUGUGGUUUAAUUCGACGACAGCGAGGAACCUUACCAAGGCUUGACAUGUAUCUGCAUACUCUGGAAACAGGUAGCCUUCGAGGGUGAUACACAGUGCUGCACGGUCGUCGUCAGCUCGUGCCGUGAGGUGGUCCACU